GAGGCGAAAUAACUCAAAGCUGACAUAAAAAGUACCUAAAAUUAAGUACAUUGCCAGCACCGUUGAAAUAAGUAAUUUUAUGUUCUCUGUUUUAAGUAGUUUUAACUUAUUCUCAGAGUACUAUCGAUAUAACUUAUUUUUGAGUUAUUUGAGAAUUAUGAUUUCGAUAAUUUAUUUUGUUUACUUUUUGUCCUAUUAAAGUACCCAAAUCGAAGUGUUGAAACCGCACUCUAUUUUGGAUGAAAAAUAAAAACGACUCCAUUAGGAUAGGUGAUAGGAAGAUUUUAUUGAAAUAUUCAGAUCUAUACAACGUGCACGAGCGUUGGAAAAAAUGCACCAACAGAAAGAGGACCGGAAAAUCAUUCCCGUAAUCAAAUGGAAUUCCAAAUCCGUAAAACUUGAAUUCCACAGCAGGGCAGCCUCACAUAACAGAUGCAUCACAGGAGCAGGAGAAAUCUCGGGAGGAUUAAUCACACCCCACACAUUCGUCACGGAACACGGGUUGCGGAUUUUCUGAAGAUCAUUAAGAUAUCUAUGUGUUAAUUAAUUAUGUAGCCGAAUGUGUUAAUAAUAGUGGAAAAUAAAAUAUAAUUCAUAAGUUAAUUUAUGCAGCCUGUAUGUUGUUCAAGAGAAAUCGCGAUCAAAAUUUCGAACAAUUUUGCCACUGCUAAGAACCCCAUUUUGAGUAGUUUUACCCCAAAAAUCGCUAUUCCCGAAAUAGUUAGUUUUUACUUAAAACGGCCUCUUCGUGGAAUGACUCGAAAUUGAAUACUUUGCAAAAUACUCAAUUUUGAAUCAUUCCACUUAGCUGUCAAGAUGAGUACAAAAGAGUUAAUUUUAGG
This is a long non-coding RNA of Aedes aegypti (yellow fever mosquito), 842 nucleotides long. RefSeq lists it as uncharacterized. The record is from RefSeq and is a predicted model, not a curated record. The transcript is spliced from 3 exons. Lineage: Eukaryota; Metazoa; Arthropoda; Insecta; Diptera; Culicidae.